AUCACUUCUCGGCCUUUUGGCUAAGAUCAAGUGUUGUAUCUUAUUUUUUACUUACAUCAUUUUAUACUUCUGUAAAAUUUUUCUGGGGACACCUAGGUGGCUCAAUCAAUUAAAUAUCUGACUCUUGGCUCUGGCUCAGGUCAUGAUCU
Molecule: small nuclear RNA, 149 nt
Filed under: Suricata suricatta (meerkat)
Lineage: Eukaryota; Metazoa; Chordata; Mammalia; Carnivora; Herpestidae
Description: U2 spliceosomal RNA (ENSSSUG00005010457.1)
Rfam family: U2 spliceosomal RNA
About the family: U2 is a small nuclear RNA (snRNA) component of the spliceosome (involved in pre-mRNA splicing).
Source: Rfam by way of RNAcentral